Molecule: transfer RNA, 88 nt
Filed under: Candidatus Nomurabacteria bacterium
Lineage: Bacteria; Candidatus Nomuraibacteriota
Description: tRNA-Ser
Rfam family: tRNA
About the family: Transfer RNA (tRNA) molecules are approximately 80 nucleotides in length. Their secondary structure includes four short double-helical elements and three loops (D, anti-codon, and T loops).
Source: RNAcentral
GGAGGGGUGACCGAGUGGUUUAAGGAGCCUGUCUUGAAAACAGGUGAGGUGCAAGCCUCCGAGGGUUCGAAUCCCUCCCCCUCCGCCA